CCCGUCCGGGAACGCCCGGCUCGGGGCGGCCGUGCCGAAACCCCCCGCGGCCCGCCCGGCACCGGGGAGGGGGGAGCGCCCCGGCCGGGCCGGGCCGGCUGGCGGGGCGAGAGGGACAGCCCUGCGGGGUGACUCCGGGGAGCGGCUGCCGUGGGUCAGAUAAAUGAUAUUUUAAAACAGCAAAGCCUUGCCCUUGUGCAGUUCAUGUGGGCCAUUCUAAGAAAGACUUCAGGGACUGUCCUUUCCCUUCCUGCUGUAGAGCAGUAUUGUACUGCUGGUGAUGGACGAUUGUGGCUCUCAUUCAGAAAGGUACCUGCGGAGCACUGUGCCUUCAGUAUAGUGAGAAUGGUAAUUGGAUCCUACAGUUAGGAGGACUCUAAGCUGUGAAUUUUAAGCACGCAGUGUUAUCUGUGUUGUGGCCUGACUUAAGUUUCUAAGGAAUUGCAAUAAUGCUGCUGCAUUUCUGGGGUUUGGUUUGAUUUAUCUUUAGACUUGUUGAGAGACACAAUACCAUUGAAUGAUUCUCUCAGACACAGGCAUUUAAAUCUUCAGGUAUUUAAAAGGAGAAAGGGAAGAUUUUUCACUGGCGGAACAUUGCUUGAAGGGAUGAAGAUGCCUGGCUAAAUCUGCUGUGUCAGGUGGUCUUGUAGAAGAUAAUAUUUGUCCCACCAAGCUUGCCUUAAUUCCCUGUUGAACGAUCUGCAUUCACCAAGGCUCUGGUGUGGCUGAAGGAGGAAUGUGUCUGGAGACAGGGGUUCUGUAAUGUGUGACUCCAGGUCUGUUAAACCUGGGAGAUGAGCAGGAGCUCACAUCCAGGAACUCUGUGCUGUGCAGUCCUGGGAGACAGAAUGGGUCUUUGGGCCCUUCAGUUCCCCUCUCUGCCAUACAGGGCUGUGCUCUUUUUGCAGCUUUUGAGCUGUAAACAUCCGAGGAUGAGAGCUGUAAUUGAGAAGCUGUCCCUUAGCAGAAGUCCAAACAUGAGAGAAAUUUUUUUCCUAUUCUUUUGACUAAGAAUUUUCUACCUUAAUUUUUAUUGAAUUCUUCUGUUUUUUUACUGCCUAUAACUCUAAAUGUUAUAUGUGCAAACAUGUAUGACCCUGAUAGUAGCUGCUUAGCCAGUUGCCUUGUGACUGCAUAUUCAGUGUCCAAAAAAGCCAGAGGAAAAAGCAUAUUACAUUAGUUACACUGGUUUUGCAAGUAAUUUUCUGAAAUAACUUCUGGUGAAAAAAAAUUUGAAACAGAACCUUUCCAUAAGUUAUAAAACGCAGUAAUAAGAAUUCAUAUUUUUAGUUUGUUGUAGCUUCUCCAAAAUGUCUACUGUGUUGUUGCCUCAGAAUAGCUUUCAAAGUAGGAGAACUGGAUCUCAGCCAUGAUACUUGCAAAAUAAAAAUAAAAUAAAAUAAAAAAUAAGAUAAAAUAUAAUUAAUUUGUUGAUCCUCCAUGUUCUGACAACCUAGAUUAUCCUCACAAUAACCUUUGUUAUCUUUGAUUUUAAAGUCCUAUACAUAAGAAAGUCAACUUUUUAACAAAGUUUAGUGUACUUGUGCUGGAAAUUUAGAACAUGUCUGACUGCUUUUCAAACCAGAAUAGUGAAUUGUGUUACAGCACUGAGAAGGUUGAUACAUAAAAGGAAAGCAAGGCCAAACAAAUACAUUAAGAAAUCUUGAAAUAUAGGUUUAUUAAGUUAUGAUACAUGUUAGCUUUGUUAAUUCAUCAGAAAAGAAUGUUUGGAUUUUUUUAACUUAAUGAGCACGUGAGUCUGUUUAUCACAUGCCUCCAAAAUAAGUGUCUUUGCAGAUGUUUGCUCUUUAUUAAAAAUACUUUUUCUCUCCUCAGGCCAUGCUACACUAUUAAAUUAAACAAUGAAUUUCCUUGCUUAUUACUGGAGACAGAACACUAUGGCAGGCAUAGCCCUGGCUAUCCUGUGCAUAGCACUAACUUUUUAAUAUCAAUUUUAAGAGUUAUUUACAGAUUAGUAGUGUAGCACCUAUAUAUUUUGUCUGGCAAAACUUUUUAAUAUCAAUUAUAGGAACUGUCUGCACAUUAUUGUAGUAUUUCAUUGAUGCUAUGUCUGGUUAGUCAAAAAUGAUCAGCUAAUUUCAUUGAGAGUGAUAUCUCUGUGAUAAAUACUAUGAAUUUUACUGACUGCUAAAUGGUCUGGGUCACCUAGGAUAAUUUUAUUACCCUACUUAAUUAUUAAUCGUUUCUUUGUCCUAGUCAUCCUUCCCGUAUCUGCAACCACAUUUCUUUCACAGUGAGUUUCAAACUUACAGUCAUUCUCUAGUGUCAAAUGUCAUGUUGUCAGUGUUAGCUCAACAAACCCAGCUGUUUAUGACUAGACAGUCUCUUCACAGACAGAAUAAACACAAGCACUUCUGAAGAGGCUUUAUAAAACUCUAGAGGGGAAAGGAUUAAAGAAAAAUUAGGAGUAACUGUGUAGAUUAGAAACUUUGAAUUAGAAAAUACUCUGAUACACGCCUGUUUAUAUUGCAUUUCAACCUGAGGUAAUUCACUAUUAAUGUCUUUUACAGUAAAAGCCUGAAGUCAUUUAGUAAUGUAACAAUUAGUAAGGAAUAAUAAUAUCUUUUAUCUGCAUAUCCUGUUAAAAUGUGGUACAUGCUGACUUAGCAGUGAAAUUUUGCCCCCUCACCCCCCCUUUUUAAACUUAAAAUGCUCAAGUCUGGGUCUACUGACUAGGCUCACACUUAGAGAGGUAAAUACUACAAACCUAAAAUGUCUUUGCCUUCCAGUCAAGGUUGGCCUAUACUGAUACUUGCAAAGUUAAGCAGUUAUCACAUUCUUUAAAUAUAGCUAUCUUGCCUGGGCAUAAGAAACCUUCAGCACAGUUUGCACACAUUGUAAAUUACUUCAAGCUCUUCCAAAGGAGAAUUUUCUUGGCAGAGUUUCUACAAUGCAUACUUCCCUCAUUAGAAGAAUAGCUUAAAGAAAUAGAGUAUGAAACUACAAGAGAUUACAAAGAGCUGUAAAAUUAACUUUGUGUUUUGUGAUAAUGUCUGUGAAAUCCUUCCUUGUGUGAUACAAAGUGGACAUGAUGUAAAAUCCACGAUGUGGACAGAGCUGUAACAGAAGUCCUGACAGGGCACUGUUCUAGCACUCCAUUGUAUAGUGGCUAAGGAUAUAGACCUCCCUUGCAAAGAAAUAACCCAAGGUAGUGCUGUCAUCAUGUAACAUUCAGUUCCAGCAGUUUGCCUUAGUUUGAAUCAGUCACCAAGGGAGGAAAGGGAAGGAAUGCUGGGCAUGUGUAUAGUUGUGAUAAGUAAUUAGUGUUCAUGCAACACUAGCAUCCAUCAGACUCUGAAGGAAUGGAAUGCAGUGCAUCUGCAGUGAGGACAUGUUUAUGUUGGAUUAUCCUGUGCUAAUGCAGAGUGUGAUUUUCACCAUUUGACUCCUGCCACUGUAUCUCCUGUAGCUGAGCCACCUUACUGCAGUGGGCUGUGGCUUGAGGGCUUUUCAGAUGUGGAAAUGGUUUGCUUUGUGUAUCUAUAGUAACCAACUGCUGGCAUUUUCACUAAGUGCUGUGCGUAAGCUGAGGGUGUGUUACUGUUAUUAUUAUCUGCUUUAUAACUUAUCCCAGAAGGCAAUGUAGUAUGUGGAAGCUAAAUUAUCUUGAAAUAAAACAGUUCAUGAUCUGAAGUGGUUAAGCUCUGUCAGCAAAGAUGCUCGUGAAGUUUAAUUGACCCUGCCAAAAAUAACCUUUAGUAUGUCUAGAGAGACCUUUGAGUGUUACAAUUUACCUUUCUUGAUCUGAGAACAGUAGAAUAUAGUGCCUGUGUGGGCUGUAAUGCUCUCAGCGCCUGUAUGGCAGACAUACCUUUUAGUUAGUGGUACAGCAAUCAGCAGGUGAAUUUAUAUUUCAUCCAAAACAUCACUUAUAAUUAAACGUCUCAUCUUCUCAGUGGUGCCUAUUUCUGCUGAACUGUUUUUACUCAAGUAAUAAACGUUCCUUUGCACAUUUUAAAUAGCAGUAAGUGUAGUGGCAGUUUCAUAUGGUAAAGGAUUACUCAAUGACAGCAUCUUAUCUUACCUAUGUUUGAAAGGCAAGAGGUUUUAUAAUUAUGAAAUUACCCACUGAGCAAACUUUCUUAAUAAUGCUCUAAAGAAAUUAGUAUGAAACACAGGUAAGGGUAAAGAAAUUAUCAGAAACCAAAAUCAUCAUUACAUCAUUUUUCCAAA
Taeniopygia guttata (zebra finch) is the source of this 4194-nucleotide non-coding RNA. The record is from RefSeq and is a predicted model, not a curated record. Lineage: Eukaryota; Metazoa; Chordata; Aves; Passeriformes; Estrildidae.